UACGAAGGGGGCUAGCGUUGCUCGGAUUGACUGGGCGUAAAGGGCGCGUAGGCGGUUCGUACAGUCAGACGUGAAAUUCCUGGGCUCAACCUGGGGGCUGCGUUUGAUACGUGCGGACUUGAGUGCGGAAGAGGGUCGUGGAAUUCCCAGUGUAGAGGUGAAAUUCGUAGAUAUUGGGAAGAACACCGGUGGCGAAGGCGGCGACCUGGUCCGAUACUGACGCUCAGGCACGAAAGCGUGGGGAGCAAACAGG
Molecule: ribosomal RNA, 253 nt
Filed under: uncultured bacterium
Lineage: Bacteria
Description: partial 16S ribosomal RNA
Rfam family: Bacterial small subunit ribosomal RNA
Source: RNAcentral